UUCCUCGUCUUCCUCACCCUACCCUUCCUAUCAAACCUUAAUCCAAGCUGCCACCAAACCCCACCGCCUGAGGGUGGUGGCGGCCCCUCCAACCACUCCAAAAUUAACGUCACAACUACCUCUCAUUUCCCUCAUCACUAAUCCCCCACCAUAUUCCCUCGAAUCAAACCUAGAAGCUUCGAAUAUAUGUUUGAAACUCUGGUCUCAAAACAUAAACUUGUCUAAAUGAGCCCAAAUUGAUAUUAGACAGUCUCCUCAACCUCCUCUUCUUAAAUAUGAGGUUAUUUUCCUUCGACUCUCACCAGGCCGCCCUCAAUUCCACAUCUAGGGUUUUCGACUUUUAUGCUUGUUUGAAGUUUUUGGUUCUGAAGAUUUUAGUUAAUGUUAUACGUUUGUUUUGGACAAAACUAACCUAUAACAUUAAUUAGAAUUCAACUCCAUAAAUCGAAUAAAUUUUAAGAGCCAUUCAGUAAGUCACUUUCUCAUUUUUAGUUUCAAUUUAGUUCGCUUCUUGUUCUAUCUUCUAAUUAAGCGUAAUCUUUAGUUUCCGAAUAUUUUAGUUAGUAAAUUGGUUGCAAGUAAUUUUUUCAGUUAGAUUAUUAGUAAAGUAUUGGGUAUAAUAUUAGAUUACGCUUGUUUCUGAUUAAUUCAUAGUUUAAUUUUCAUUUUUGUCUAGUUUGUUUGAUUUUUGUCUUGUUUAAAUUCUAGUUGGUCAGUUAUCAGUAUAAUCGUUAGGAGUUAAUUUAGGUUUAUUUAGCUUAGUUGAUUAGUUUCAGUAGAAUAACCUUGUUGAAAACUGUUGAGUCUUGUUAAAUUUGCAGUCAGAUAUUGUUUUCAACUUCAUAUUAUUUUACCUUGAUUCUGUGAUAGUUAAUUCAAUUGUUAGGAUAAUUAAUUUUCAGUUUAGUUAAUAUCAGUUGGGACUGAUUUUGGUUACAGUUGAAUUGGUUUUUGUUGGGUAGUAAUUUCAGGGGGGGGGGGGUUCAAGGGUAGUUUAGGGAUGGAAAAUGGUAGUUUCUUUAGGAAUAGUAAAUUCAAGGUAGGGUUAAGGGUAGUAUAGUAUUUCUUAGGCUAAAAGAGCACCCUAGAGCCUUCUAGAAGGGUGUCUUAGUGUAGGUUUCAGCAAAUUAGAGGGACUUGCUUAUUUAGCAAGUCAAAAAUAGAGGGACUAAAAAGAAAACCCUAAAAUCUGAUUUACUCUCUUUAGGUUUGCCUAUAACUAGUGAGUCAUUUGCUUUGUGAAGAGGAUCUUCAACCUUUCAGCGUAAAAUAUCCCCAUAAGAGCUCUUUUUCUUUCUCUCCAGAAGUCAUAUUAGUAAUUCCAAUACAAAAAAAGAGGCAAAAUAAAUUAGAAAACAAAUAGAAGAAAAUCAUUGUUUUAUUGAAUGAACAUGGAUUGAUUCUGGUUGCUAGUGAAUUUCUUUACAUUUUCGUUUUAACUGAGUUGGGUUUCUGGUGGUUUGGUUUAGUGUAUUUUCAGACCACUCGGGUGCAAAUUGAUUUAGUUUUGGUUGGUUUUUUCACAUUUGCAUUUGCGUAUUGUGUGUUGCUGGGUUCAAUUGACAAUAGUCUAAGGUUGUUUGUUACUCAUUCCUGUUGUUGCUGUGAUAACAGGCGGCUGACCUUUCUCAUUUGAUUUUGUUUGAAUCCAGGGACACACUCACGUUUCUUUAAUGUAGCACCCUGAUUGAAAGAAAAACAUGUUUGCAAUGAAGUGUGCAGAGUUUUUCUUUAAAUCUGACUGCUGUGAUAACAAGCUGCUGACAUUUCUCAUUUGAUUUUGUUUGAAUCCGGGUAUACACUCACGUUUCUUCAAUGUAACACCCUGAUUGAAAGAAAAACAUGUUUGCAAUGAAGUGUGCAGAGUUUUUCUUUAAAUCUGAUUGUGCCUAAUAUGUGAAUGGUUGGUCUAUCAUUAAGAAAUUAGCUUCAGUUGGUCUAGUUAGCUUCUGUUAUUAAUUUUGAUUUUGAAGUUUGUGUUUAGGAACAAUGUUAUAUGGUUAGAAUGGAUCAUGGAUUGUGUAGAACUCUAUACUGGGAAUUCGAGUUAAUACUUUAGUCUUAGUUAGUUUUGUUUUAGCUUUGAUUGGUUAUUGUAUAAUCUCCUGCUAAAAUUAGAGAAAAGGUUGAAACAUGGUUUGAAAUUGCAGUAGUUCUUUUUCAAAAUCAAUAGUUGGUUGAAUGUGUUAUUAAACAAUUGAAAUAUGAAACUAGGUCUGUUAAUUAUGAUAGACAAAUAUGGUUUAAUUGUAGUGAUUAUUUUGGUUGAUUAAUUGUUGACCAUGCUUUAGAAAUCACAUUCCCCUCGCUGGGGUUCGACCCCUAGUCCACUCGAACGAUUGAUGAGCAGGCUUCACGCAAGAAGCCCACCUGCUAAAUCUGGAAUGCUGGCAGGGAUUUUGGCAGUUGACUUGGGUCAGCCGUUGGCCCAAUUUGAGCCCAUUUAGAUUCAAUCCCCCAGCCCUAUAAAACACUGCUGCCUCUGUCAAUUGGGCGCAUUGGCCUAGCCAUUUGGGUCCAGUUCACAUUUUCUUUCAAAUAAUUUAAUUGGUAUUUGGAAUUAGGGUUUUGAGUUAUGUAGCGGGUUUUAAACUAAAAGGAUCGUCCUUUUGUUUGGAUCCGGACUUGAACUUAAUGCCCGGAUUAUAAAUAUAAUUAAUUAGGAUCUUUCUUUUAUUAUUUGAGACAAAUAUCCAAAAAUAUAGAAAAUAUAGCUACCCUUUUAGGUUUAUCCUUUAAAACAAAACGAGACGAGCCUCGCCCAACAAAAGUACAAAAUGCGGGGCCCCCAAAAAAGAUUCAAAAAUAUUUAGAAAAUCGGGAAGGGCCGCUUAGCGAAUUUCACGACCCUUCCAAAUGAUUACAAUGCGUUAGACUCUAUUAGACGGGCCUUUAAUAAAAUUACAUUCCUAAAUAUGGGUGAGAAUUUUAUGCGGCCCAAAUUCAAAUCCUAAAAUGUUGAAUAAAGUGUGUCUAGGAUUGCGGGUUCAUUUGAUGCGGCGCAAUCCAAAAACAUACUCUAAACGACGUUCACUUUCUCUUAUAUAAAUAUUAUGCUAAAUAAAAGGGUUAAGCAUAAAAUUGGCACAUAGACAAUUCAUGUAUUAAAAUCAUAUUUUAGCUGUUCAUAACAAUUUAAGCGACCGUGCUAGAACCACGGGAUCCAAGGGUUCCUAACACAUUCCCUAGGGUCAACAGAAUUCCUUAUUUAGAAUUUCUAGUUCGCAGACUCCAUUCAGGAAGUUGAAGCUUUUCUCGGUUCGGGAUUCAAGCUAAACUGGUGACUUGGGACACCAAAAACCAAACUUAUCCCAAGUGGCGACUCUAAAUAAAUAUUCUCGAUCCGAAUAAUGUCACUUUAAAAGGAAAAACUCCCUUAUACAUUUAUCCUUCAGGGUAGGUGUGUAAAUAGGAGGUGUGACAGUGAGGCAGGGAACCAUAAGUACGAAUAGUAAUUACAAAGGGAUGGAGAAUAUACAACCUCUAACAUUUGGGUACCUCUGAGGCCUGAAAUACAUGAUACAUAUGUAUAUAUACAUAAACUUUUAAAACCUACACUCUAUAGGCAUCAUCAUCAUCAUCGUCAUAUCGUACCCGGCCGAAUAGGCUCGGUAGAAUCGUACCCGUACACGUAGAGCUCGGUAAAACCCAACUCAUCAAUGGUUGCACAAUAGGUACCGUACCCGGCCAAAUAUAUAUAUAUAUAUAUAUAUAUAUAUAUAUAUAAUGCAUGCUCGACUAUACCCGGCCAUCAUAAGGCUCGGUAGAAUUGUACCCGGCAACGUGGGGCUCAGUAAAAUCCAAUUGAUCAGUUGUUGCACAAUAGGUGCCGUACCCGGCCGACUAUAGCACGGCUCGGUAGAUUAAAAGAGAUACAUAUAUAUAUAUAAUGCAUGCUCAACUCUUGGGAACAUGUUCUAAACCUUUCAGAGUGACGUAAGGUCGGUAUCCUUUGUACAUGUUAUUAGGACUAACUCUUCACCAUGAACCAUAUAAGAAUUGGGAAGUACCAACAACAUUUUUAACAUAAAAAUAAGAGAAGCAACAUCAUCAUCAAUCAUUCCAUAAGAGGGAAAAUAAUGUAAGUACUGCUAGCUUCUAAGAGUAGAGUAUCAUUGGAAGCUCGUUCAUUACAUUACGUACAAUCGGAGUCGUGCAAAAGAAGAAAAAAGAUAGACUCACAUACCUUGUAUAUACUGUCAAACCUCAAGCUAUGUAAAUGGAACAAUGUAAGUACUACUAGCUUCUAAGAGUAGAGUAUCUUUGGAAGCUCGUUCAUUACAUUACGUACAAUUGGAGUCGUGCAAAAGAAGGAAAAAGAUAGACUCACAUACCUUGUAUAUACUGUCCAACCUCAAGCUAUGUAAAUGUCACGACUCCUUAGUCUACAAUAGGAGAAAUGACACUAUCGUUAACGUUUAAGCGUCGUAACUAUUAUGUACCGACCACAACCUAUUUUACGAUGAAACGAAUAGCACCUCCCCUAAUUGUAUGACUUCACACAAGUGAAAACAAUCACCAACAGCCCAAACAACAUCAAUGUUAAUCAUAUUGAGCCUCCUAAAAUAGUCCACCAACUAAUAACAUUACUACCAAGCCUUUCGUUAUAUUUCACAAGUUCUAUCUUCAAUGAUUUAGCCGAAACUUGGAUAAUCUUAAAUACACUUAGAGUAAGAGGUUCCUUACCUUAAGACAGAAAGAACAUUGUCAUGUUGGGUAUAAUGGACACAGGGAGCUGCCAUGGGUAUCUCCGAGGACUUGAGCUAAGGGAUUAUUUACUGAACGUCCCAUACUUUACCUAUCAUUCGGUGAAUUGCCCCUUUCCAACUCGAAUCUGACCUUAAUUGACCACGAAAUAUCCCUCCAAUUCUUCCCCAACAAUGAGGAAGUGAAACUAGCAAUCAAUUAGGGUUUUUCAGUACUAGAAUUACUUUAGAAGGAUUGAAAUCACAUAUUGUUGAUUAUAAGAGCUUGAGUGAGUAUUAACAGAACAUAAACCCCUUAAAACAACCUCCCACGUGAGCUGGAACAACAUAAAAAUGAGCAACAAUAAGAAGAACAAGAGACUUACUAGCGCCACGGGAUUUCCGACUUUUGAUUUGUGUUGUUUGCCCUUUUUUGGUCUUGAAUCUUGAGAGAACCUUGAGAGGAUGUUUCUAGGGUUCUAAAGUCUGAAUAUACUGAAAAGAAUGACUUAAAAUAGGUUGGAGGCAUCAUAUAUAUAUAUAUAUAUAUAUAUAUAUAACCAAAUGUCUUAAACCGUAUAAGUGGGCCCCAUAGAGAGGUGCUUGGCGCAGUCUCUCAAAAACGUGAAUAUCUCUCUGCUCCGAGAUCGUAUCGAUGAACGGUUUAAUGCAUUGCAAUUGGACUCUUAGAUAUUAAAUAUGGUGGGUAGAUCACCCCGUAAUUCCAAGUAAAUUGGGAGAAAAUCUUAGUAACAUUUGACCUAAUGUUUAAGUAAAAUUAUGAACCUAAGUUGCGAAAACUUUUGUCAACUUUUGCUUCAAAACUCGUUUGGCUUCGAGACUUAUGAUACAAGUAUUAUAUGAUUCAAAUACUUUAUACAUGACCUCUUGAGUGUAUUAAGAACCUCUAGGUUUACUAGAAAAUGAGGCUGACAACAUCCUUAAUUCGUUUAACUUCUAAUACUUAUUAACCACUCUUAUACACCUUUGUAUCAUUUAAGACCAAUAAGUUUAACUUUUAUCAUCUUAAAGAUAAUCUCUUUAUGGAUUUACGUCGACUACCUUAUGGCAUGAACUAACAUGCAUGAAUAGGGGUUGUAACAGUUUAUAGAUGGGCUCGACUUGGUUUGAUGUUAAAUUUAAAGUAAUGGAUAUAUCUGCCACAUACAAUCUGUUGUAGGGACAGUCGUGGAUACAUGCUACUGGGGCCAUAGCCUCUAUGUUAUACCAGGCCAUGAAGUUCUAAUUGAAUUAUCAAGAAAUAGUCAUUUUAAGUCAUUUUUUAAGAAUUGGACUGUUGCAUUGUCCUGGGCCCGUCGAGUUCCUGGGUAGCCUGGCAAUUAGCAUGAUCUAUUUUUAAAAUAAAUGUUAAGCAUUUAAGACAUUUUCAGUAUUUUGUUUUAGAAAUAAUUGCUCAAGUAUUCGAGCCGUACUUUUUUUAAUAUUUUCAAGAUUUAUUUAAUGCAUUGAAAUU
Molecule: long non-coding RNA, 6159 nt
Filed under: Nicotiana benthamiana
Lineage: Eukaryota; Viridiplantae; Streptophyta; Magnoliopsida; Solanales; Solanaceae
Description: long non-coding RNA (NBEN_LNC010090)
Source: RNAcentral